RNAcentral lists this unclassified non-coding RNA (287 nucleotides) under Hevea brasiliensis (rubber tree). The record is from RNAcentral. Lineage: Eukaryota; Viridiplantae; Streptophyta; Magnoliopsida; Malpighiales; Euphorbiaceae.
UUCUCUUCAAACUCUGUGACGAUCACCUCUUCUUGAGGCUUCUCUUCCUCUUUCUUCCCCAUGAAAUCAAAAAGCCCACGAUCCUUGGUCUCCACAGCUGCACCCCCACCAACGACAGGGGUCUCAGACUCAUGGCUCUUGUGGUGAUCCUGCUCCGCCAUUCAGAUCAAGAAUCACAGAAAACUUAGGGGGAAAAAAUAAAAACAAGUGAAAAGCUGGUUUAACGAAAGUAAGUUAAGAACUGAAUAGCCUCUUCGAGCUCGUAAAAGCGCUGCUUGUUUUGUAAC